Molecule: long non-coding RNA, 1371 nt
Organism: Diabrotica virgifera virgifera (western corn rootworm)
Lineage: Eukaryota; Metazoa; Arthropoda; Insecta; Coleoptera; Chrysomelidae
Exons: 3
Source: RefSeq, a predicted model, not a curated record
CUAUUUUUUUAUUUUCAUAUUGAAAUUUUGAUUUUUUUUUUAUUAUAUAAUUACUCACUUACUUAUUUACUGACACUUUAAAUAUUGACGGUUAUCCAAUAUUAUUGAUCCUUUUAUUUUACUUACAUUUAUGUUUUAUUAUAUUAUUUUAUAUGUUACAUUUUGUUAUAUUUGAUAAACUUAACGGCAAUGAUAAGCUUUACGAAGUAAUUGAGACUUCGAGACACUAGGCCAUAUACUAUUGAGUAACGUCCCUAACAACACACAACAUUCCAGGAAUGUACUACCAAAGUUCUAUCAAUAUUUGAAUGUCCUGGACAUUUAGGGAACAUUCGGUGAACAUCUGUUUAAAUUAUUCCUGGAAUGUUACCAUAAGACAUUCUGUGAACAUACUACCAAUGUUCCUAUAUUUUAAGUUGCGAAAUAAUACAUACGUGUAAGAGAUACAACAUUACUUAUAACAUACCAGACAAACUAAGUGACAUUUUAGGCCUACAGUGCAAUAAUAUGUCAAAUUUAAAGAGUUUCCCAAGAUUAUAAACAUACAAAUGUAAUAAAAAUUAUUGUUCGCGAAUAUUCAAUUUGGAAUGCGAUUUUGUUAAUAAAAAAAAUACUUAUAACUUAUGCAAAACCCAAGAGAGGCAUUUAUAUUUAUUUCUUUUGCGUUCAUUUUCAAAUUCGCCGUGCAUAUAUUUUUGUGCAUGGCGCUUGAGAGGGCAUCACGUGACUAAAAACGACCAACCAACGACCUCGCUUCGGCCAUCUUGGCAUCUUCAUCUUGGCGACCUUGCCUUGCCGUGGAUUGUUUUUAGUUGUUUGUAUUAUUUGUGCUUUUUAAGAAUAUUUUUUUAAUUCGGAUACUUUUAUAAUAGCUUUAAUAGUAUUAUUAACAUAGUGCAUAAAAUGGUGUCCUGUUUUUAACGCAGUUGGAGUAGCAGAAACAAAUGUAGAUAAAAAAAUCUGCAGGAAUAACGUUUCAAUUAUGACAGAAGCUCAAAACAAAUGACUGUGAAUGAAAAGCCCUAUUAAAAGCUUUCCAGAAGAUCCUGCGAAGAAGACAUGAAGUAUAGAUCAGAUUUGUUAAUAGAGGAGUAUGUUCAAAACACUUUUUAGAAAAAGAUAUUGACAGAACUUCACUUUCAUCUGUUCGUUUGAGAGACUGUGCUGUUCCAAUAGCUUAUGUCACACAGAAUCAGCUGAGAGAAGUGGUCUACAAAAAACCAGAAAGGAAACGAAAUAUGUGGCUACGAAAAGCAAAAGAAAGGUUUACAAAGCAAAUGUGACACAUUUUUUUAUAAUAUUUAGGAAUGUCAGCAAAUUACAUUAAAAAAUGUAUGUAAAGAUUUUUUGCAAUAAAAAUGUUUAUAUUUA